RNAcentral lists this ribosomal RNA (326 nucleotides) under uncultured bacterium. RNAcentral's name for it is "bacterial SSU rRNA". It matches the Rfam family "Bacterial small subunit ribosomal RNA", at positions 568 to 898 of the family's 1533-position model. The record is from RNAcentral.
UGCGCAGGCGGACUUGUGCGUCAGAGGUUAAAUCCCACAGCUUAACUGUGGAACUGCCUUUGAUACGGCAAGCCUUGAAUGCGAGCGAGGAAGGUAGAAUUCCUGGUGUAGCGGUGAAAUGCGUAGAUAUCAGGAGGAAUACCAGUGGCGAAGGCGGCCUUCUGGCUCGUUAUUGACGCUCAGGCACGAAAGCGUGGGGAGCAAACAGGAUUAGAUACCCUGGUAGUCCACGCCUUAAACGAUGUAUGCUUGGUGUUGGGAGUUUUCUCAGUGCCGUAGGUAACCCGUUAAGCAUACCACCUGGGGAGUACGAUCGCAAGGUUGAA